This 433-nucleotide ribosomal RNA is filed under the name uncultured cyanobacterium. RNAcentral's name for it is "bacterial SSU rRNA". It matches the Rfam family "Bacterial small subunit ribosomal RNA", at positions 958 to 1392 of the family's 1533-position model. The record is from RNAcentral. Lineage: Bacteria; Bacillati; Cyanobacteriota.
AACGCGAAGAACCUUACCAGGGUUUGACAUCCUGCGAAUCCCUUGGAAACGAGGGAGUGCCUUCGGGAACGCAGUGACAGGUGGUGCAUGGCUGUCGUCAGCUCGUGUCGUGAGAUGUUGGGUUAAGUCCCGCAACGAGCGCAACCCACGUCUUUAGUUGCCAGCAUUUAGUUGGGCACUCUAGAGAGACUGCCGGUGAUAAACCGGAGGAAGGUGUGGAUGACGUCAAGUCAUCAUGCCCCUUACAUCCUGGGCUACACACGUACUACAAUGCUACGGACAAAGGGCAGCAAACUCGCGAGAGCUAGCAAAUCCCAUAAACCGUGGCUCAGUUCAGAUCGUAGGCUGCAACUCGCCUACGUGAAGGAGGAAUCGCUAGUAAUCGCAGGUCAGCAUACUGCGGUGAAUACGUUCCCGGGCCUUGUACACACCG